UACGUAGGAUCCGAGCGUUAUCCGGAUUUAUUGGGUUUAAAGGGUGCGCAGGCGGGAUGUUAAGUCGGCGGUGAAAUUUUGCAGCUCAACUGUAAAAGUGCCUUCGAUACUGGCUUUCUUGAGUGUGGAUGAAGUAGGCGGAAUUUGUGGUGUAGCGGUGAAAUGCUUAGAUAUCACGAGGAACUCCGAUUGCGCAGGCAGCUUACUAAACCACUACUGACGCUCAUGCACGAAGGCGUGGGGAUCAAACAGGAUUAGAUACCCGGGUA
Molecule: ribosomal RNA, 269 nt
Filed under: uncultured prokaryote
Description: partial 16S ribosomal RNA
Rfam family: Bacterial small subunit ribosomal RNA
Source: RNAcentral